RNAcentral lists this ribosomal RNA (454 nucleotides) under uncultured bacterium. Its description in RNAcentral is "bacterial SSU rRNA". It matches the Rfam family "Bacterial small subunit ribosomal RNA", at positions 340 to 786 of the family's 1533-position model. The record is from RNAcentral.
UACGGAAGGCAGCAGUGGGGAAUAUUGCACAAUGGGCGCAAGCCUGAUGCAGCCAUGCCGCGUGUAUGAAGAAGGCCUUCGGGUUGUAAAGUACUUUCAGUCGUGAGGAGGGUGUUAAGGUUAAUAACCUUAGCAAUUGACGUUAGCGACAGAAGAAGCACCGGCUAACUCCGUGCCAGCAGCCGCGGUAAUACGGAGGGUGCGAGCGUUAAUCGGAAUUACUGGGCGUAAAGGGCACGCAGGCGGUUAAUUAAGUUGGAUGUGAAAUCCCCGGGCUUAACCUGGGAAUGGCAUUCAAGACUGGUUAGCUAGAGUCUUGUAGAGGGGGUAGAAUUCCAUGUGUAGCGGUGAAAUGCGUAGAGAUGUGGAGGAAUACCGGUGGCGAAGGCGGCCCCUGGGACAAAGACUGACGCUCAUGUGCGAAAGCGUGGGGAGCAAACAGGGAUUAGAUACC